UUGGAAGCUUCUGUAAAAUAACUAGAAUGGUUAAGUCGAAAAAUGCAAAAAAAUGGCUUCUUCUUGUUGUUCAAGGAAAUUGCUUCUACUUCGAUUACCGAUUUACAGAGCUCUCAAACCUAAUUCCUCCUUAACGAUUAAAACAUCAUUUCUUUCUACUUUUACUCAUAAAUAUCUUCGAGAACCUUCCAGUUCUCUAUCCAAAUCUUACCUCUCAGAAGUUUCUAGAAGCUUUUGUUCGCGAUCUUCACCUCUUCAUGAUGCUUCUGAAGGUCCUGCUGCCAUCGAUUACCGAUCUCUGCUGCAGGAAGAUGAGUAUCACAGACUGGCUAAUGCCACUAUCCAUGACUUGCUAGAUAAGUUGGAGGAAUAUGGGGACUCAGUUGACAUUGAUGGUUUCGAUGUGGAUUAUGGGAAUGAGGUUUUAACACUGAAGUUUGGGAGCUUGGGAACCUAUGUGAUAAACAAACAAACACCAAAUAGGCAGAUUUGGAUGUCUUCACCAGUGAGCGGUCCAUCAAGGUUCGACUGGGACCAAAACUCUCAAGGUUGGAUCUAUAGGCGAACCAAGGCAAACCUGCAAAAGGUUUUGGAAGACGAAAUAGAAAAACUAUGCGGAAGUGCCAUUAAUCUUUCUUAAGACAUUGCGGAUUUUUUUGUGUUUAGUGUACUAUCUCUAAGUAUGAUUUACAUGUCUUAAAUAAUAACACUAUUAGCUGGAGAUGAGGACAGGUUGGCAGAUGAAUUUGUGUGAUAUAGAGAGAACAAAACAUGAGCCUAAAACCAAGAGGUGCCACCUAUAUUUCUAAGUAGCUAUGUUUGAAAAACAUUGUUGAGUAAUCAGUUGAAAGUAUCUAAGAAAAAAGUGAUUAUGGUUCUUAUAAUUUUGUCAUAUGGUGUACAAAUCUCUUCUUUUAGAUGGAGGUGUGUGGAAUCAAGGAACAGCAUAAAUUUUCAUUUAUUUAUUCAAUUCUAUAAUUAACUUAAUUUUGUUCUA
Capsicum annuum is the source of this 997-nucleotide RNA transcript. It is a transcript of the gene named frataxin, mitochondrial, with no coding region annotated. The transcript has 6 exons. The record is from RefSeq and is a predicted model, not a curated record. Lineage: Eukaryota; Viridiplantae; Streptophyta; Magnoliopsida; Solanales; Solanaceae.